AGCUCUGUAGUGAUUAACACAUUAAAUUGCAAAUUUAAAAAAGUUCCUUUAUUGGUUCCGGGGCUU
This 66-nucleotide transfer RNA is filed under the name Bavayia sauvagii. Its description in RNAcentral is "tRNA-Cys". The record is from RNAcentral. RNAcentral also lists the same sequence under 1 other name. Lineage: Eukaryota; Metazoa; Chordata; Lepidosauria; Squamata; Diplodactylidae.